RNAcentral lists this ribosomal RNA (253 nucleotides) under uncultured bacterium. Its description in RNAcentral is "partial 16S ribosomal RNA". It matches the Rfam family "Bacterial small subunit ribosomal RNA", at positions 524 to 776 of the family's 1533-position model. The record is from RNAcentral.
UACGAAGGGUGCAAGCGUUACUCGGAAUUACUGGGCGUAAAGCGUGCGUAGGUGGUGAGUUAAGUCUGUCGUGAAAGCCCCGGGCUCAACCUGGGAAUGGCGAUGGAUACUGGCUCGCUAGAGUGCGGUAGAGGAGAGUGGAAUUCCCGGUGUAGCAGUGAAAUGCGUAGAUAUCGUGAGGAACACCAGAGGCGAAGGCGGUUUCCUGGACAGUUACUGACGCUCAGGCACGAAAGCAUGGGGAGCAAAAGGG